This 452-nucleotide small RNA is filed under the name Histoplasma capsulatum var. duboisii H88. RNAcentral's name for it is "Histoplasma capsulatum H88 hypothetical RNA". Lineage: Eukaryota; Fungi; Ascomycota; Eurotiomycetes; Onygenales; Ajellomycetaceae. The record is from RNAcentral.
GAUGGCAGAGUGCUAUAUGUCUUCGAAGGCAGGGCGAUUUCGGAGGCCCGUGGGUUCAAAGGGGUAACGGGGAGAGAGUGCUGGUGGUACCAGGCGAGGACUAUUUUACGGUUGGUUGAGUGUCAGCAGCAGUCAGGAUUGUUGGCGAUUUUUAUUUUGCUUUUCUUGCGGAUUCGCUAUUUCAACUGACUCUUGUAGCCAAACUUGCUGGGAUCGGUGCUGGCGCCGGCUACGGCGAACCGUGGGGAGGAGAAGAAGUGUUUGGCAGCGGCCUCCAUAUCUUGAUUAAUCCUUAAAUGGCGUGUAUUAACCUAUUGCCAGCUGGAGACAUGGAAGGUAGACAGUGCUUAAAUACUUUCUAGUCUUUGGUGGAGAUGCCUCGGAGGUUAGAAGCUCCACCACACCAAUAAUUUGUUGACUUAGCAGUUGGUUUUGAAACGCAGAUUACCACG